This 222-nucleotide unclassified non-coding RNA is filed under the name plant metagenome. Its description in RNAcentral is "partial contains small subunit ribosomal RNA and internal transcribed spacer 1". The stretch from base 1 to 46 matches the Rfam family "Eukaryotic small subunit ribosomal RNA", at positions 1786 to 1831 of the family's 1831-position model. The record is from RNAcentral.
AAGUCGUAACAAGGUUUCCGUAGGUGAACCUGCGGAAGGAUCAUUACCGUUUCUGGCUAUUUAAUAGCUUGUCGGGGGGCUAGUAGUCUCUAUAGCCUCCGUGACUGAAUCCGUGUUUUUACGUACUACAUGUUUCCUCGGCGGGCUUGCUCGCCGGUUGGACAACCCUAGAAGCUCUUUGCAAUUGCAAUCAGCGUUCUGAAUUGAUUUAAUCAAUUACAA